AAAGUCGUAACAAGGUUUCCGUAGGUGAACCUGCGGAAGGAUCAUUACAAAUCCAUCCACGUCUCAUUCUUGAGACCACGUUGAAAUGUUCCCUAGUGUGUGUGUGUGUGUCCUUGUCUGUCUUGGCGCGCGCACCCACACACUAGGCUUGUAAACUAGUAUUAUCUGUUGCUCAAUUGUAUCUUUCUUGAUUGUAAUGAUCAGGGUAAACAAAGUACAACUUAUAACAAUGGAUCUCUAGGCUCUU
RNAcentral lists this unclassified non-coding RNA (247 nucleotides) under Ascomycota sp. RNAcentral describes it as "partial contains small subunit ribosomal RNA, internal transcribed spacer 1, and 5.8S ribosomal RNA". The stretch from base 1 to 47 matches the Rfam family "Eukaryotic small subunit ribosomal RNA", at positions 1785 to 1831 of the family's 1831-position model. The record is from RNAcentral. Lineage: Eukaryota; Fungi; Ascomycota.